CACGUAGGGUGCGAGCGUUGUCCGGAAUUAUUGGGCGUAAAGAGCUCGUAGGCGGUGUGUCGCGUCGGCCGUGAAAGCCUGCAGCUUAACUGUGGGCGUGCGGUCGAUACGGGCAUCACUGGAGUUCGGCAGGGGAGACUGGAAUUCCUGGUGUAGCGGUGAAAUGCGCAGAUAUCAGGAGGAACACCGGUGGCGAAGGCGGGUCUCUGGGCCGAUACUGACGCUGAGGAGCGAAAGCGUGGGGAGCGAACAGG
This 254-nucleotide ribosomal RNA is filed under the name uncultured bacterium. Its description in RNAcentral is "partial 16S ribosomal RNA". It matches the Rfam family "Bacterial small subunit ribosomal RNA", at positions 524 to 776 of the family's 1533-position model. The record is from RNAcentral.